RNAcentral lists this ribosomal RNA (207 nucleotides) under uncultured bacterium. RNAcentral describes it as "partial 16S ribosomal RNA". It matches the Rfam family "Bacterial small subunit ribosomal RNA", at positions 568 to 774 of the family's 1533-position model. The record is from RNAcentral.
CGCGUAGGCGGCAAGGCAAGUCAGAUGUGAAAUCCCCGGGCUCAACCUGGGAAUUGCAUCUGAAACUGCAGUGCUUGAGUCCUGGAGGGGAUAGUGGAAUUCCCAGCGUAGCGGUGAAAUGCGUAGAUAUUGGGAGGAACACCUGCGGCGAAGGCGGCUAUCUGGACAGUGACUGACGCUGAUGCGCGAAAGCCAGGGGAGCGAACG